UACGUAGGGUGCAAGCGUUGUCCGGAAUUAUUGGGCGUAAAGAGCUCGUAGGCGGUCUGUCGCGUCUGCCGUGAAAGUCCGGGGCUCAACUCCGGAUCUGCGGUGGGUACGGGCAGACUAGAGUGAUGUAGGGGAGACUGGAAUUCCUGGUGUAGCGGUGAAAUGCGCAGAUAUCAGGAGGAACACCGGUGGCGAAGGCGGUUCUCUGGGCAUGUCCUGACGCUGAGGAGCGAAAGUGUGGGGAGCGAACAGG
Molecule: ribosomal RNA, 253 nt
Filed under: uncultured bacterium
Lineage: Bacteria
Description: partial 16S ribosomal RNA
Rfam family: Bacterial small subunit ribosomal RNA
Source: RNAcentral